AUUUAACAAGCUGAUUGCUCAAUAAUAUUUUCUCCAGCAUCAUUUAAGACCAUAACCAACCCAGAAUAUAUUACUAAUAUGCUAUCUUGUUAACCUGGAAAUUUUCUUCGUAGCAUCAAUUGAUAAUCCUUUAAAAUAUGCUAUCUUGUUAACCUGGAAAUUUUGAUAAUCCUUUAAAAUAUGCUAUCUUGUUAACCUGGAAAUUUUAAUCUUAGCAUCACUUGAUAUAAUCCAUUCAGGAACUCCAACCAACAAAACAUCAUGAUAUAAUUUAUUCAGGAACUCCAACCAACCAAACAUCACUUGAUAUAAUCCAUUCAGGAACUCCAACCAACCAAAGAAAAUUUAAAAUAUGCUACUAGUUUUAUCUGGAAAUUAUGAUUAUUCAAUAAAUCAAUUAAUUUUUUUAAAGCAAAAUGCCCAAUACAAAUUUAUAAAAUCUAAAUUUAAUAAAAAUAUACUAUUUUCUAAUAAUUAUUUAUAUUCUCAAAAUAGAGAAAACUAUUAUAUGCAUACCAAUGACAAAUGUCAUUGAUGCUUACAUAGAUAUUUAUUAAUUAUUAGGUUUUUACCUAAAAAUUCACAUCACUCUUUUUCAAUAUUAUGAUCAUGCUGUUAAAAUUUUCAUUUUUUAAUGCUUUUUAUACCAAAUUUACACCAUUUUAUAUAAUAUUGAUAUGCAAAAAGUAAUUACCAUAAUUUUAUAUAUUACUAUUGAAAUACAAAUUGCAAUCAUUAUUUUAUAAACCACCUAUUGAUAUACAAAUUGUAAUCAUCAUUUUCUAUACAAUUAGUAUUCAAUUGCAAUAUAUACAAAUAUUUAUACACCACCAUCAAUA
Gordionus sp. m RMFG-2023 is the source of this 839-nucleotide long non-coding RNA. RefSeq lists it as uncharacterized. The transcript is spliced from 4 exons. NCBI's taxonomy places the organism in Eukaryota, Metazoa, Nematomorpha, Gordioida, Chordodea, Parachordodidae. The record is from RefSeq and is a predicted model, not a curated record.